AAUGGUGCGAUCUUGGCUCACUGCAACCUCCGCCUCCUGGGUUCAAGCGAUUCUCCUGCCUCAGCCUCCCAAGUAGCUGGGACUACAGGCACGCGCCACCACUCCUGGCUAAUUUUUGUAUUUUUAGUAGAGAUGGGGUUUCACCACAUUGGUCAAACUGGUCUUGAACUCCUGAUCUCGUGAUCCGCCCACCUCAGCCUUCCAAAGUGUUGGGAUUACAGGCAUGAGCCACUGUGCCUGGCUUUUUUUUUUUUGAGACGAAGUCUCACUCUGUCACCCAGCCUGGA
RNAcentral lists this long non-coding RNA (287 nucleotides) under Homo sapiens (human). RNAcentral's name for it is "non-protein coding lnc-FOXL2NB-5:2". The record is from RNAcentral. Lineage: Eukaryota; Metazoa; Chordata; Mammalia; Primates; Hominidae.